Molecule: ribosomal RNA, 649 nt
Filed under: uncultured bacterium
Lineage: Bacteria
Description: bacterial SSU rRNA
Rfam family: Bacterial small subunit ribosomal RNA
Source: RNAcentral
UCGAGCGAGACCGGGGCUUCGGCCCCGGGGACAGCGGCGAACGGGUGAGUAACACGUGGAUAACCUGCCCUCGGCACCGGGAUAGCCCGGGGAAACCCGGAUUAAUACCGGAUGGCCCUUCCGGCUCUCGAGCCGGUCGGAAAAGGUAGCUUCGGCCUCCGGCCGAGGAUGGGUCCGCGGCGGAUUAGCUUGUUGGUGGGGUAAUGGCCCACCAAGGCUCCGAUCCGUAGCUGGUCUGAGAGGACGAUCAGCCACACUGGGACUGAGACACGGCCCAGACUCCUACGGGAGGCAGCAGUGGGGAAUCUUGCGCAAUGGGCGAAAGCCUGACGCAGCGACGCCGCGUGAGGGAAGACGGCCUUCGGGUUGUAAACCUCUUUUAAGAGGGAAGAAGCCACUCGGGUGAAUAGCCCAGAGGGUGACGGUACCUCUAGAAUAAGCCCCGGCUAACUACGUGCCAGCAGCCGCGGUAAUACGUAGGGGGCAAGCGUUGUCCGGAUUUACUGGGCGUAAAGAGCGUGUAGGCGGCCAGACAGGUCCGUUGUGAAAACUGGAGGCUCAACCUUCAGACGUCGACGGAAACCGUCUGGCUAGAGUCCGGAAGAGGAGAGUGGAAUUCCUGGUGUAGCGGUGAAAUGCGCAGAUAUCA